GACGAACGCUGGCGGCGUGCUUAACACAUGCAAGUCGAACGGGCCUGUCUUCUUUUUUGGGGGUGGGUUGAGUGGCGAACGGGUGAGUAUCACGUGAGUAACCUGCCCUUCGGUCCUGGAUAACCGCUUGAAAGGGCGGCUAAUACGGGGUGGUCCGGUUGGUCCGCAUGGGCUGGUCGGGAUAGAUUCACUGUUUUUGGUGUUUCGGCGGGGGAUGGGCUCGCGGCCUAUCAGCUUGUUGGUGGGGUGAUGGCCUACCAAGGCGGUGACGGGUAGCCGGCCUGAGAGGGUGGGCGGCCACACUGGGACUGAGAUACGGCCCAGACUCCUGCGGGAGGCAGCAGUGGGGGGUAUGGCACAAUGGGCGGAAGCCUGAUGCAGCGACGUCGCGUGAGGGAUGGAGGCCUUCGGGUUGUGAACCUCUGUUUCCGGUGGUGAAGGCCCUGUCCGUGUGGUGGGGUUGACGGUAGCCGGGGAUGAAGCGCCGGCUAACUACGUG
This 499-nucleotide ribosomal RNA is filed under the name uncultured bacterium. RNAcentral describes it as "partial 16S ribosomal RNA". It matches the Rfam family "Bacterial small subunit ribosomal RNA", at positions 28 to 507 of the family's 1533-position model. The record is from RNAcentral.